UAGUCUUGUUCUUGAAGGAAAACGUCUCCUUCCUCCCCUUGAUGUAGAAACUGAUCUUGGCAGCACUAGCGUAGAUGUCAGCUCCCGAGGUGUUCAGGAAUGGCCUCCCUAGGAUGAUGGGUGCCCUCUCAUCAGUAUCAGUCUCUAUCACCACGAAGUCUGCUGGAGCGUAUAAGGUACCAACUCGGACGUAGAGGUUCUUCAAUAUUCCCUUUGGGAAACUUAGUGUCUGAUCUGCAGGCUGCAAACACAUGGUUGUUUCUAGGAAAGGAUGUGUAAAGAAUUUUUCAUAGAGUACCCUGAGCAUAAUGUUGACGCUGGAGCCAAAGUUGCAGAGUGCUUCUAGGAAGUCCGCCAUGCCGAUGGAGAUCGGGAUGACGGGACGUCCUGGAUCGUAUCUCUUGACCGGCAGAAGGUCAGUAAUUACUUCCACAACAGGGUUACUCCAGUAGUUACGUCCUCAAGCAUCUCAGGGCAGUGAUUGCCUGAGUGUCCAGUAUCUCCAGUGUGUUUGUGCUCGUAGAUCUAGGUUCUUCACUUGGUGGAGUCUGGGAGUUAUAAAAGUCCUUCAUAUUUUGCUCGAAAUGUACCUGCUCAUAGAGACAAGGCAGAGAUCAAGUGCAUGGGCCCUGUUGGUGGAAAACACCAACAGAACCAAAAGUGUAUUUGUUCUUCUCUAACCUUAAGCAUAGUGAGCAAGACAAAGUUGAUGGAUAAUAAGAUCAUGAGUGUAACAUUUAAAACAUUUGUCAGAUCAGAUCGCUCAACCUAAUGGAAAGAUAAUCUAUCUAUACUUAUGUUUUUCUAUAUCUUCCAAAGAUUGAGUGUGCAAUAUUUUAGCUCAUAUAAUUAGGAGUGUGGGAUCACAAAGGUGGAAGGACUAAACAUAUUGAAUCGAUUGGGUUGGUUAAUCUAGAGUUGUAAAUCUUACAUGUUUGUCUCUUUUACUCAUGUGAAUGCCAAAAAUAAGGAGAAGCUUAUAGAAGUGAUAGUCAAGUACCUUAAGAUGUUACCUUUCUUGAAGAGUGAUGGUACAGUAUUACCUUGUGGAAGCUUUCCUUUCUUAGCGGUUGUGCAUCGUGUUUGUGGCACCCUCCAUGGAUCAUCUCUUGUGAGCUAUGCCUUCCUUGUAUAAAUUGUUAAACUUCAUGUGUCUCUCUCUUUGUCUCCAAUGUGAGUUUAUCUCAGGACUUCCCAGGUCGAUAUUGAAAGUUUUCCUACAGGGGUUAGUCCAACAAAAUAUCCAAUAUCUACUAUAGCAUACUAUCAGCUCAAAGAUCAACCUAGACACCAUGUCUAAUUUGAUUUAGGAGGACAUUUUAACCUAAGCAUCAUGCUUAAUUUAAACUCCCUUGGAAGUAAGAUCAUCAUUCCUAGCUAAGCACCAUGCUUAAUUAGGAGAUAAAUGAAACUACUCCAAACCUAGACAUAUACUAAAGCAAAUAAAGGUGGCAUGGGAGCAUUUAUAGAGAUCUACUCAAGUGGAGAUGAAGUAGUGUGAUUACUAUUUAACAAAAUUAAGCAUGUCUUAAAGGUAGGGACAACCAACAUAGCAACAUGGCAAAGGAUGUUUUUAUGCAAAGUACUCCCCCAAGCUUGAAUUUUGCAAAAUUCAAGUUUGGAUGAAUUUAAUUCAAUGUUGUAUGAUGAUUGGUUGUACAUACCUUGUGCUUGUCAUUCAUCCGAUCUUCUUGCUCUAAUCCUGAAAAGGUUAGUGACAACAAUACCCGAAGGAAUUUUUUUACAAUUAUCCUUAUAUGCUCAAUACACAAGGUAAUGUUGUAAAUAAUUAAGAGCUCAUGUUACAGUCUGAUUAGUGCUUGUUUUAGGACACUAAGCUUGUCCUUGGGAAACCAUCGAUUUAUGUCAGUGAAGUGGUUUCCCCUCCAACGCUGACCUAUAUCAAGAUCAACUCAACGAGAUCUGCAAAAUUUAUUAUAGACAUAUGCAUCGACAACCGCCCUUUUAAAGUUUUUAUAAAUAGAAAGGAAGUGGGGGUUGGAGAUCUCGAAUGUGGUGAUGUUGGAGAGACCAAUGGAUUGUGAAGAUGUUGCAUAUGAGCAUGGAGUAAAUGAAGUGGCUAUGAAAUAAAUUCCAUGCUCAUUAAUGCUUAGAGUGAAAUCCAUGUGGUAUGGUGAAAAUGAUAAGGUGAGUAUGGUAAAAAAAAGAAAGGAUACACGGACGACUUGGUUCGAAACUAGCACAGCUACCGUUCCAUGGCAACGGCGCCAGAAAGCUUGUUGGGUAUUUUAAACGCAAACAAAAAAAUCCGCAAGCGCACGGAUACCGAUGUAGCCUUCACCCGGGAGUAUUCCAGAGUAUCAAUUUUCCACAGGGAACGUGAGUGUACUAAUUAAGAUCCAAGAUCGCCCAAGGAUAACUAUAUAACUAUUUUUGGUGGGAAGAGAGGAAGUUUCCUGAGAGUUCUCUAGUUGAUCUAAGAAUCAAGAAUUACUUCAAGAUUAUCUAUUUCGGGACAUCAGAACACUAACCACAGAAAGAGAUGAGAAGGGGGCUAGGAAGCUCCGACUACAGUCCUACAAACACCGAUCCGAACGAUGUGGAAUACGUCGACCGUUAGGGCUGUCACUACCCUAGGGCUACCACAACAAUCCGCAGGAUUGGGUGCAAUUCCAGGUAAUUGCAAGACUAAACACCACGUCUAAUCUAUUAAUUACUACUCUAAUGUUUCAAAGAUUAGAGCACUUAAUGCAAGCGGGAAUCCAAUAAAUAACUUGAAUGUAAAUAAAAGUAAUUAGAGAACUCAGGAGUUAUGAGUUGAAGAACCUGGAGAACGAUGAAGAACGAACCAGAUGCUGCAAAAGUACAAUGUUGAGGAAGAUCCGACAGAUCCAGCUCCUCCUCCGCUCUCCUCUUCUCUCUCCCUAUUUUCUAGAUUACAACUAGAACUAACUAGAACUAGAACUAGAGGAACUAGAACUAGAACUAGAUCUAGAUGAACUAGAGGUAGAACUAGAAGAACUAGAGGGAUCCUCUCUACUUGGAUGAAGAAUUGAAACCCUAACUUUGAUUAUGUAGAAGAGGUAUGAUCUCCAGGGGCCAGGGGGCCUUUCUUAUAUAGUCUUUUUAGAUGAAUCUGGGCCGUCGGAUCAAACUGACAUUGAUCGUGUGGUUUUCCUUGAAGUAUUAGGUCGGUGGAGCUUGAUCCCCGAACUUCACCCUGAUUGGUCCAGGGGGGAGGGCGGGCGCCCAGUAAGGGAGGGCGGGCGCCCAGUGCCCGGCUCCGUUACGUCUCCCGUUCGCUCCCGUGGCUUCUGGACUCUUCUAGAUGGUAGAUAAUUGUGCGGCACGUUAGUAUCUCUAUGUAAACCCGACGUGUGGGUCUUUCUUCCGUAUUUCUGAUAACCCCCUGCAGAAAUAGACAAACACCAAAACUUGUGGAAUUCUGUCAGAUAAAACCCUAAGUCUAGGUUUUGGUUGCAUUUGGAUCCUUUUCUAUGAUUAGUUGAUGGUUAAUUGUGAGCAUUAAGGACCGUCAACAAGCUCCCCCAAGCUUAAACUUUGCUCGUCCCUAAGCAAUGAUGAACUCAAGAGUUUCUGCAGUGGUUUCAUGCCUUAAAGAUACACAUGCGUUCAAACAAGAUCUCAUCUCUAGGUUAGGGUAAACUGUUAAGAUUUAAACUUACUCAUAUUACCUUCCACCAUGGGGCUUGCAACCGUCACUUGUGUCUAGAGUAGUUAAAAGAUAGAACGGUCUAGUCAAGCGCCAUGUCUCUUGUUCUUCGAUUAACUAUAGCUCUGGAGUUUUUGCAGAUUUUCAAAUAAAACUCAGAGAUUCCUUGUAUGACUCUCUCUAGUCUCUCAUUUGUGGUAUUUCUGGAUCCUUACCAAGACAGUAAUGGUGUAUGCCUUCUCUCAGAGUAUGUGGUAUUUUUGGUAUGAGGCAUAGUGGCAUUGCCUUCUCUCUCACCCUACUCUAAUAAGGUUUUGAUAUCUGGAGCUCAUAGAUGGGAGAUAGCUAAUACAUACUUACAAGACAUUUAUUGCAUAGUCAAACCAUGGAUCCAAAGAAACAAGUCAAUAAGUCAAAUCAAGAUGUGCAUGUGUGGCGAACGAAUGGUGCAUGGUAAUGAUGGUGAUAACAAUGGUGAAAGUCUAAUUCUACUUGUGCUCUUUUGAGGGAAUACAUACCUUUCUUGCUCUUUUGAAACUUUUUGAGGAGAAUGAGAUGCUCUGUAUUUUUUUUUCUUUUCUCUUAGGUGGGUAUCUUGUACCCCUAAUUUUACUGUCGGACACUUGUCCAUUUUUACCUCUCGUCUCACUUUUUUUUCUCUUUUCUUUCGAGGUUUCGGGCACUUGCCCCUUUUUAUUUCCUCGUAUAUAUUUUUUUCUCUUUUUUUUAUAUUAGAGCACUCAUCUUCUGAAAUAAUAUAGCAAGUGGUAGUAACCAAGAUAACUUGAGCAUUUAUUUCACAGGGGAAAAAAACAGAAAUGUUUUUGGCUAUUCUCUCCUGGAUUAGGAGUAGAAUAUUUUUGGGUGGUUCUGGAGAUGGAAAUGGAUGGAUAUAUGUGGAUGCGUACUUCCGGAGUAGAAGCAGCAUGUAUGAGUGAACGUGCAAGUGAAUCUUGAUUUUAACCACAUGACAAGCUCCUAAGGGUCUACACAGCUUGACCACACUCAAUGCUCAUAAGCAGUAAAAAGUAAAUGUGUGGCUCAAAGUCUAGGAAGCAUGUAUAUCUGGCUGUGGUAGGAAUUUAAACUCUCAUCAUACAGGAACUCAUCAUGCAACACUUUAAAGAUUUUCAAAUAUAAAAUUCUCCAGAAUUCUAGCAUCUCUAAGAACAGAUAAACAGCAGCUCAACCUUCCCAUAUCAUAUCCGUUAAUGACUUAGACUUCAGCUCAAGUACUCUUCCCACAAGUUCAGGUUUAGAGCAAAUCUUAAUUAAUACCAGUCAUGCCUAAACUUGAGUGAGAUUUCAAUUUUGAGAACUAGUCAUGGCAGAGCAACUAUUCAUCAUUUCCAUUUGAGAGCUUAUCAUGAGGGUUCAUAGCAAACUUUAUUUAUUUACUUAUUUAGCAAACUAAGCAAAGAUAUAUGUAUAAGCACAAAAUUUUUAUUUGGGUUCUUAUGAUUAUGCAUCUUUUUAUUAUUAGAGUAAAGUAUAAACGUGAGUAGAAUACUUAGCUGGAUAAAUGGGGUUGCUCUCCCCCAAGCUGGGUUUUGACGUAAUUCCUUCUCAUGUAGCUAGCAGGUGGCAGAGGUGUAUUUGAAUGUUGGCAGCACCCUGACAGCGAUUAGGAUGUCCUCCAUCUGCUAGCCUUCUUUGAUCCUUAAAUUUUGUGGAGCUCAAAUAGACAACAAAGCUUUGUGGAACUCUUGGCAAGGCGUUCGGUGUUUUUAAGUCCUUCGAACGGGACGCUCUGCUUUCUCAGUCGUCCUGGGAUUCGCUGGAUGGCGUAGUCGGUGGUUCUGGCAGCGCCUGGUCUUCAUGUAUAACUAUCUUCUCUCUCCACACCUGACUCGGUGCUACGGUCUCCUCAGGACAGUUCUGUUCAAGUUGUAUGUCUUCAGACAUUACCACUUCUCCUUCAUAGUCUGCCCAUCCGUCCUUGAUGAUUUACCUCCUCUGGUCGUGGUUGCGUCGUCUUCUUCUUGUCCUGACCUGCUUAAAGUCUUCAACUAUAUAGUUAGGGUUAGUAAAAUAGCGGCGUACCUUGUCAGAGGGGAAAUGCAUGUGGACUUCUCUCGUUCCAAUGUAGAUGAUUGCUUUAACGGUACUGAGGAACAGUGUCUCAAUGGUGAUGGGUGGAUUGUACUCGUCUUCUCCCAUGUCAAUAACCUUAAAAUCAUCUGGAGCUGGAUGUAUGUUGGUUGUUGGGGCAUCGUUCCAUGCAGAGCUGAUAAGUGACUGCGGCCAUUAUGUUGACGUCAGAUCCGAUGUCGUAGAGUGUCUUCUGAAAAGAAUAUCCGUUGAUUGUGCACUUGAUGCUUGGAACACCAGGGUCGUCCUUCUUGGUCAGGGAUGGUGACUUAAGUCGACGAUCUUGACCUCCUUGAACUGCAGUGACCAUCUUAGCUGACUCGGUCUACAUUUGCUUGUUCCUGUUCCUCCUGUUGGUCCUUUCCUUGGUUCUUGUCGGGAUUGUUCUGAGAUUUAUGUAGUCUUGUUCUUGAAGGAAAACGUCUCCUUCCUCCCCUUGAUGUAGAAACUGAUCUUGGCAGCACUAGCGUAGAUGUCAGCUCCCGAGAUGUUCAGGAAUGGCCUCCCUAGGAUGAUGGGUGCCCUCUCAUCAGUAUCAGUCUCUAUCACCACGAAGUCUGCUGGAGCGUAUAAGGUACCAACUCGGACGUAGAGGUUCUUCAAUAUUCCCUUUGGGAAACUUAGUGUCUGAUCUGCAGGUUGCAAACACAUGGUUGUUUCUAGGAAAGGAUGUGUAAAGAAUUUUUCAUAGAGUACCCUGAGCAUAAUGUUGACGCUGGAGCCAAAGUUGCAGAGUGCUUCUAGGAAGUCCACCAUGCCGAUGGAGAUCGGGAUGACGGGACAUCCUGGAUCGUAUCUCUUGACCGGCAGA
This 6536-nucleotide long non-coding RNA is filed under the name Sorghum bicolor (sorghum). RNAcentral's name for it is "long non-coding RNA (SBIC_LNC000325)". Lineage: Eukaryota; Viridiplantae; Streptophyta; Magnoliopsida; Poales; Poaceae. The record is from RNAcentral.